CGUCGACACAACAACUUUUGCUGAGUGUUGAAGUGAAGAAUUUCUCAACAUCUACCAACUUUGGGAAAAGCCUCGAAACAAAACAAGCGUCGAGAGGGAACGCUACGAAAAUCGAAAAUUUUGUUGCUACGAAAAUCACUG
Dendronephthya gigantea is the source of this 141-nucleotide long non-coding RNA. RefSeq lists it as uncharacterized. Lineage: Eukaryota; Metazoa; Cnidaria; Anthozoa; Malacalcyonacea; Nephtheidae. The transcript is spliced from 2 exons. The record is from RefSeq and is a predicted model, not a curated record.